AGCGCCGGACAAAGUUGCCGACCUGGCGGCGGCCACGCGUUUGCGUGCGUGUGUAUGAGUGUGUGUGAGCGCGGCCGGAGAUGCGUGCGCGUGUGCGGGUGCUCCAGGGCAAUGGUCGAAAGGACUGUACAAUAUAAGAGCGAAUCCAAGCUCCAGUUGCUGUUAAAGGGGGACGGUGUGCUCUGGGACAGUGUCCCUGGGGCCCCUGGCUCGCGUCACACCCACAUCGGGUUGGGAAAGUUUCCUCUUUCCGCCGUUUGGAAUUCAGUGAGAUUCCCAGCCCAGAGGACUUGAUAAAUUGAAGCAGUUUCCUAGGCACAAUGAUGCUGUGGGCCAACUGAGCACACAUGGGAAUUCCUGGCCUUGUGACACUUUGCAUUAAAAAGAACCCCACGAUUGAAGAUAGGAGCAGAAGCACUAGAUACAGUAUUUGGUCUGAGCAACUGCCCUAUCUUCCCGCUUUGGUGGGCCGUGCAACACCUGGAGUGUCGUUUCUCGUCUUUCCCCUAAUCCAGACGCAUUCCAGGCUGGGCUGCAGGGAUCCAGGUGACAGUCAGGACUUGCAUCAUUUCCAGGAGGGUGGCAGGGAGGCCCAAGGCAGCCCUGAGUCAGCCCGCCGCGGAGCAUCGCGUGCCCGGAGGCCAGAGCUUGAAAGGCAACUUUACGCGUCUCCAAACACACUCCUGCAUUUUCUCAAAGCGCUGCUCGCCACCCCGCUCCGGGUUCCCUUUUACUCUCCAGUCAUCCGAUGGAAGUGGUGAGAACAAAAACAAAGACAAAAAAGCUAAAUCCGGGGAAGUUAUCUCCAUCUCCUCCCUUUUCUUGUUCGGCCCCCUCCCCAAGAACCGCCGGGUCGGGAUAGCCCCCGGCUACUUUCUCACCCGGCCCGUGGAGGGAAGGAGAAAGUUGGGCGCCGCUUGGAGCGCCUCUUCCCCUGCUGUGUGUGUACGUGUGCACGCUCACGUCUCCCCCGCGCCGGGGCCGGGGACAGGAACUGCUCUCGGUCCCGUCACCCCACGGCGCAGCUCGGGGGGCUCGCAGGGCUGGGGGAGGGCGGGGACACGAGCGCCGCGCCCAAGCGCCCCAGGGCACGCACCCGGCGUUGGCGCGCACUCGCCCCUCCCCCCGUCCCCACCCUCCUCCUGGAGAACAGGUGAGCCCCGGUACCAGCUCUCGAUCCCCCACCCCCGCCCCGCGCCCCGCCCGCGCCCUCUGCGGUAAUGCGCCUGGGAAGUUUCAUCACCCACUGCCCAGGCGACGCGGCCCUGGGUCUCCGCGGCGGGGCGCACUGCCCGCCUGGUUGGGGCCGCCAUGUGACACGGCUGGGGGAGGGGGCGAGGAGACACGCGGGCAGGUCAUCUUUUGGCCGGCGCUUGACUUCCAAAGCUUUCCUUUCCCGUGUCCCGGCUGCACGCGGGAGUGGGGAAGGCGGAGGCGGGGGGCCAGGAUGGCCACGGCUGGCCGCAGCUAUCCGGCGUGUCGAGCUCUCCUGAGUCGGAAGGAAGGAGAGGAGGGGGUGGGGAGGGCGUCUUCAGAGUGGGCUUCCCCUGCGCUGGAGCGCCAGGGAGCAUCCAUAAAUUGUCACUUUGAAGGUCCGAACCUGCGGCGGUAGGGACCAUGCCCACUAUUCUAAUAGCAAUUACUCCGCGCAGCCUUGGAUCUUUUGUGCAAGGACGUGCGGGUACAAAUACAUUAAAACGGCCAGUUCACAUUGCCCACCCUGCUUGUGUUUGCAUAGUUAACUUAGCUUCCUAGUUUAUGGAAAACUACCUCCUGUAGAUCCUUAAAAACAAAGCAAACAAACGACACAGCGGCAUUCUGGCCUCUCCUAACUAACUCUUUAAGGCUCUGAAUUUCCUGAGAACAAGUAGCCAUUUGGUCCCACUCCUGCUUAUGGGUACAGCUGGGUAGACUUUCUUUCUAUGUGGCCUCUUUUGUAGGAGAGAACAUGAGCAAUAUUGACAUUAAGAAGGCAUCUGGUCACCUGUUUUUUUUUGAGAAGCAGAAAUAGGAGAGAGCUCCAUGGGGCAGGAGCAAGCCCUCUUUUGCCAGAUGCAGACACUUAGUGUGCUGGGCAGAGGCCUCCCAGGAUACCUGGAGCGAUGGCCAGGGGGAUGGAGCUCUCCCUGCUCCUGCUUUGCCCAGCCUUUGGCUAGGCCUACCUUUUGCUACCAUGGGGCCCCUGGGGCUGCCCUCAGAGGACCUACAUAGUUUCAAAGUUCGUCCUGAGGCUGUUUGCUCCUGCCUUCCAAGGGACAUUCCUGGUUUUCACCUGAGCCAACUGCCCCUUUAGAACCAAAAGAACACAUAGUAGCUAGAAUUGGAGGUGGCGUAAGCACAGGCACUAGUUCUUAAGGGUUUAUCUCUGGGCCACUUAGCCAAGUCCAAAGCAUCCAGAUAAGAAUGCCCAUCUGAGUCCGACCCGCCAAGGCUGUGAAAAUUCCCUUGCAGAAUCACUAGGCAGUUUGCUGAAAUGGCCAGUCUAGGCCGCAGGGGUAGAAGUGGGAUGGGGGCUCAGACUGGUGACUUUGUUGUGAUUGACUCCCCCUCUCUCUGGCUGAUUCCUUUAGCUUUAUAACUGAGGCCAAGUUUGGCAGACUGUGGCUGAUGAGGGUGGGGCAGGGGACAGUAAUAAUAAUCAUUAUUACUAUUAUAUAGCUAACAUGACACCGCACCACACACCACACUCAUGCCUUUGGUGUCCCUCCAGACCUAGGGCCCUCCCUAGAUGGGAACUGAGGCCUGGGAGGUCUCCUGGAUGGACCAGCUGCUGUCCUGAGGUUCAGCAGCACCUGUCUGGAUGGGCCCUCCUCCUCAAUUUAACGCAUACACAGCCAGGAAGAGGCAGACAUGACCUACCUUGUGUCAUCCAGGGCCUUCUGUGGUUGACGCCUGGAGCCCAUGUUUUCCUGUCUAAAUCCACUUUGCUAGUUACAUGCGGUCAACACUGAGUGGCAGGUUUUGGGGGAGGGGAUAUUUGGGUUAGACCAUGAAGGAUGGGGGAGGAUAGUGACAAGUAGAGGCAAGGAAAAAAGUGGGCAUGGGAGGUGGGAGGACCAGCAGGGCUAAAUGCAUGGAGAGGAUCCGGUGGGAUUUGUAUCAGGAAUAGGGGUUGCCCAGUUAGGUGUGAAAGUGGGACAUCAAACUGGGGAAGUCGGCCAGGGCAUGUUGUGAAGGCUGGGCUCCUUGUGACAAAUCUGUGCUCCUCACGGAAGAUCUGACGGUAUUUAAGGAUGAGACUGUAGGGCGCUUUAGACUAGGUUCUCUUUAGGAAUUAGGAAAUGCUCAGGGGCCCAGAGCUGCCAUUGUGGAGAAAGAGCAGAGGAGUGGGAAGGAAUUAGUUGGAAUCUUCACGUGCGUCUCGAUGCCCAGCAAGACAGACGUGUUCUUGCUCGAGUGUGAGCCGAAGGGGCUUUAGCGGAUGGGCAUAGUUCGUGGGUGCUGAGUCAGUGAUGUGCAAGUUGACACGUGCUGCCUGGUCCAGGCUUUCUGAGUUCCGGAACCUGAGUGGAGAACAUGGCUUACACGUGGGGAGCUCCACCCACUGCACGCCCCGCCCCCUUGGGGCCGACUGUCUGGGCUGAUGGCACCACCUUAUGGUCAGAGAGGGAACUGUCUGGCUACACAGUCCUCACGACUCUGCCUGCCUGGAAAGUUCUGAUAUUGGGUCUCCAGCCUUCUCCCCAGUUUCCUUUCCUUUUCUUAGCAAAUCAAUUAAUGCAGAUUUAGCCAAUCUCCUCGCAAUAACAUGCCUUAAUCCCCCCAUCAAAGAGAUCUCUUUCACACUUAUUUUCCCUCUUGCUCCCCUAUCCGUUGCUGUUUUCCUUUGUGAGUCUCAAAUUUACCCUAAUCCUGGCUCCUGUGCAUCAUACCUGUAUGAAGGAAAAUGAAAAAAGGUAUCAAGGUGAAACCGGACAGAAAAAAAUAACAAACUGCUGCUAUCAGGCCUCCCAAAUUAUCUUGCAAGCAGAGGUCUCUCCCUAAAAAGCCUCCAUCUCCCAGCACUUUGGGAGGCUGAGGUAGGUAGAUCGCUUGAGCCCGGGAAUUCGAGACCAACCUGGGCAACAUGGCAAGACCCCGUCUCUACAGAAAAUACAAACAUUAGCCAGACGUGGUGGUAUGUGCUUGUAAUCGCAGCUACUCGGGAGACUGAGGUUCUGGGAGAAUGGCUUGAGUCCAGGAGGUUGAGGCUGCAGUGAGCUAUGAUUGCACCACUGUACUCCAGCCUGGGUGACAGAGCAAGACCCUGUCUCAAAAAAAAAAAAGCCUCUAUCUUUGCUCUUAUCUUUUUUUCAUUAAACUGGUUAUUUCAUUAAAUAUAAUUCAGGAUAAAGGAGAUUAUAUCUUCAAUAUUUGGGUUUGUUUAUUCUUAAUACUAUAACCAAAUUAUAUUCUACUAAUUUAUACCAUAAAAGUGCAGUGCCCAACAACACAAUGAGUUAAGAAGGAUUUUGUGGUGCUGGCCUGUAAACCUAUCAUGUAUAAUAUUGUUUCUUGGAAGAAAAUAUAUUCUGAGUUCCCCAAACAACCAACUUUGGAAGUGUGGGAACACAACGCUUUUGUGAAUUGGGCAUUUCCUCUCUGUCACAGAUCAAUAGUCAAACCAUUCAUGGAUUGACUGGAAAUACAAAAGAAAAAAAAGCAUUAAAAAAACCCCCAAGAGAGUAGGAACACAAUAAACCCAUUUACUGGAAGGAAUAUAAAGUAGUAAACACUGGGCAUCUGACUGUAGUCUGAGUUUUGUUAACGCCUUUCUCUGAAGCCUGAAUGGUAUUCCAGAAGGCCUCUCUGUUUUACAUGGGUCAUAAUUUUUUCUUCCUUGUUGUAUCUUGAGACAAACUCCAGGAGAACGUAUCCCAGGCAAGGGGCUGCCUGGCUUCCAUGGAGAGUACUGGUUGGGCCCAGAGGCAGGCAUUGUGGUGCUGGAAUAGUAUGAUAGAGCUCUCUCUGGGUGGGUUUUAACUUUGGUUGGAGAAUGGUUGGAUGUCAAGUGGCUGAAGGAAGAAUCUUUUUGUGGGGCAGUUUUCUAGGGAGCCACAUUUUGAAAGCUCCAGGAAACGACCAAAUCUAUUAAUGUGAUUUAACUUUCAGUAUGUUAUCAGGGUCCAUCGGACCCAAUUUUAGAUUUUGAAGGUGUUUUUUUUUUUCCUGAGAAAUUCUAACAAUUUGUAAGGAUUGGUAUUUCAUGACUUUUGUUUGUUUUCAGAAGUCUUCUGAAGAUGAAAGAUAACAUCUAGUUUUUAACAAAAAUAGAAUAAAACUCAUUCUAUCUUGAAGUUACCAUAUGACUAUUGAAAUAAUUUAUAAAUUGAUGAUGUAUCAUAGGAUCUUAGAGAUCUUAAUUUUCUUAUAUCUUUAAACAUCUUCCAUUUUAUCACCCUAGAAAUUAUUUCAUCAUUACUCAUCAAUUAUUGCCAAUUAUGGUAAAAAAAAAAAAAACACCAAUAAGAAAUGGGAGAAUCAUGGAAUCACCUAGAAGGAUGAUGCAAGAAUGAAACAAAUUAUCACUGUUGUAUCAUCCUUCAGGUUUUUGAUCACAUUGCCUGAAGUAUUACAUCAUUUCUCGAGAAAGUAUAAAAGAAGACAGAGGAUACCAUUUUUGUAGUCUUCUUCUUCUUACUUUUAUCAAAUAUAGUUGUAAAUUCAGCUAUAUUUUUCAUUUUUCUGCACAAACUGUAAAGAGAAGAAAAGUGACAGAGGAAAAUGUUGUACAGUUAUUAGUCAAAUCAGAAGAUGAAUGCAGAGAGACAGCACUAUGGAAGACUCGAUAAUGGCGAAACUGACUGAAGUGUAUAAGCAAAGUCUCAGACUAUGAGUCCUACAUGAUAAUAACCUAGAUUAAUUUCCUCAGAUUUAAGGAUUCAUGAGUAAACAAUAUAUUUCUAAGGAUAACAAAAAAUAUGAUAUUCUCAUCCUGUUAGUCAUUCAACAGGAAUGAUUUCAUCACACUAUAUUUUGCCGCAAAAACUUGGAGCAUCCUGUUUUGCUAAAAGAAUGGGGGCCAAUUUUUUUUUUUUUUACUUUUUAUGUUUGUUUAUUGAAAUUUUCUUGAUACAGUUUGAAGGGGACAAAUGAUGAAGUCAGAUCAAAGGUGAGUACAAAGAUGAUUGAAAAGAAAUAGGUGGUAUGGAAAGGAAAGAAAAAAAUCACUGG
RNAcentral lists this long non-coding RNA (6153 nucleotides) under Homo sapiens (human). RNAcentral's name for it is "non-protein coding lnc-BNIP1-5:4". Lineage: Eukaryota; Metazoa; Chordata; Mammalia; Primates; Hominidae. The record is from RNAcentral.